UAAUUAUAGAAUAACUAAUCGAAGAAUUCAAAUAGAGAAAAAUAUUCAACACGUGACCGAACAACACAUUAAUUCACGAAUGCGCGUAGCGCAUGAGUUAAUUAUCAGUGUUGUUCGGUCACGAGUUGAAUAUUUUUCGAUAUUUGAAUUCUUUAAUUAGUUAUUCUUUUUAUUACAUUGGCAAAUGGCUUUUUUGUAAGAAGUUAAUGUAUAACAUGUAAGGAACUAUAUCUUUUUUCUACGCAUUCACAAUUUGUUUUGAUCCACUGUUAUCGAUGUCUUGACAACGCCUAUUGUUGUAUGACGUCAGAGAGUGAAAUAACCACGUUUAUUUCACAUGUGAAAUUAUCGGUUUUUAUCUAACUGGGAAAUCAAUGUAAUUCAUUGCAACCAAUGUAAUAAUUU
This 405-nucleotide long non-coding RNA is filed under the name Mytilus galloprovincialis (Mediterranean mussel). The record is from RNAcentral. Lineage: Eukaryota; Metazoa; Mollusca; Bivalvia; Mytilida; Mytilidae.